RNAcentral lists this RNase P RNA (367 nucleotides) under Verrucomicrobiota bacterium JB022. Its description in RNAcentral is "RNase P RNA component class A". It matches the Rfam family "Bacterial RNase P class A". From Rfam's summary of the family: Ribonuclease P (RNase P) is a ubiquitous endoribonuclease, found in archaea, bacteria and eukarya as well as chloroplasts and mitochondria. Its best characterised activity is the generation of mature 5'-ends of tRNAs by cleaving the 5'-leader elements of precursor-tRNAs. Lineage: Bacteria; Pseudomonadati; Verrucomicrobiota. The record is from RNAcentral.
CUUUAGCGUCAGGCCUCCGCUCCGCCCGCUUCGGUGGGUCGGGGAGGAAAGUCCGGACACCAUAGGGCAGGAUUCCCGGUGAAAGCCGGGGCACGGCGGGGGAGACGCCGCCGUGACGGCCAGUGCAACAGAAAGCAAACCGCCGGUUGGCCCACGCCAGCCGGUAAGGGUGAAAGGGUGGGGUAAGAGCCCACCGCCCGACCGGUAACGGCCUCGGGGCACGGUAAACCCAUUCCGGUGCAAGACCAAAUAGGGGAUCAGGUGGCCCGCCUUACGAUCCCGGGUGAGUCGCUUAGAUAAAUGGAGGCCAGCGCAGGCAGGGCAACGUGCGCGCGCGACAGAAUCCGGCUUAUGACGCUAAAGAGCC